RNAcentral lists this ribosomal RNA (690 nucleotides) under Chaetocladium brefeldii. Its description in RNAcentral is "eukaryotic LSU rRNA". It matches the Rfam family "Eukaryotic large subunit ribosomal RNA", at positions 66 to 669 of the family's 3401-position model. The record is from RNAcentral. Lineage: Eukaryota; Fungi; Mucoromycota; Mucoromycetes; Mucorales; Chaetocladiaceae.
UAACAAUGAUUUCCCUAGUAACGGCGAGUGAAGAGGAAAGAGCUCAAAGUUGGAACCUGUUUGGCUUAGCUAAACCGGAUUGUAAACUGUAGAAACAUUUUCCAGGCACGCUAGACAAAAAAGUCCUUUGGAACAGGGCAUCAUAGAGGGUGAGAAUCCCGUCUUAAUCUAAGUAGUUGUCUAUUUGUGAUAUGUUUUCAAAGAGUCAGGUUGUUUGGGAAUGCAGCCUAAAUUGGGUGGUAAAUCUCACCUAAAGCUAAAUAUUUGCGAGAGACCGAUAGCGAACAAGUACCGUGAGGGAAAGAUGAAAAGAACUUUGAAAAGAGAGUUAAACAGUAUGUGAAAUUGUUAAAAGGGAACCGUUUGGAGCCAGACUGGCUUGACUGUAAUCAUCCUACUUUUUUUGUGGGUGCACUUGCGGUCUUUGCCUGCCAACAACAGUUUGAUUUGGAGGAAAAAAAUAUUUGGAAUGUGGCCUUUUUCGGAAGGUGUUAUAGCCUUUUAUAUCAUACUCUGGAUUGGACUGAGGAUCGCAGUUAUUGUUUCCGCUUGUUUUUCUUUUGCUGAUAAAUGUUAAAAUUUCUGCUUAGGGUGGUGUUAAUGUUUAAAGGUAAAACUAGGAUGAGUAUUGUGAUAACUUAGGUUGUUGGCUUAAUGACUCUAAAUGACCCGUCUUGAAACACGGACCAA